RNAcentral lists this ribosomal RNA (376 nucleotides) under uncultured bacterium. RNAcentral describes it as "bacterial SSU rRNA". It matches the Rfam family "Bacterial small subunit ribosomal RNA", at positions 523 to 898 of the family's 1533-position model. The record is from RNAcentral.
AUACGUAGGUGGCAAGCGUUGUCCGGAAUUAUUGGGCGUAAAGAGCAUGUAGGCGGACUUUUAAGUCUGGCGUGAAAAUGCGGGGCUCAACCCCGUAUGGCGUUGGAUACUGGAAGCCUUGAGUGCAGGAGAGGAAAGGGGAAUUCCCAGUGUAGCGGUGAAAUGCGUAGAUAUUGGGAGGAACACCAGUGGCGAAGGCGCCUUUCUGGACUGUGUCUGACGCUGAGAUGCGAAAGCUAGGGUAGCAAACGGGAUUAGAUACCCCGGUAGUCCUAGCUGUAAACGAUGGGUACUAGGUGUAGGAGGUAUCGACCCCUUCUGUGCCGGAGUUAACGCAAUAAGUACCCCGCCUGGGGACUACGAUCGCAAGAUUGAA